GCUGGAAUGGCCGAGUCGUUAAGGCGAUAGAUUUGAAUGCUUCCGAGCUAAAUAUCUAUUACUCUCUGAGUGCGUAGGUUCAAAUCCUGCUUCCAGCG
Non-coding RNA from Gymnopus androsaceus JB14, 98 nucleotides. The record is from the annotation of a GenBank genome assembly. NCBI's taxonomy places the organism in Eukaryota, Fungi, Basidiomycota, Agaricomycetes, Agaricales, Omphalotaceae.